Molecule: ribosomal RNA, 275 nt
Filed under: Latilactobacillus sakei
Lineage: Bacteria; Bacillati; Bacillota; Bacilli; Lactobacillales; Lactobacillaceae
Description: partial 16S ribosomal RNA
Rfam family: Bacterial small subunit ribosomal RNA
Source: RNAcentral
UAUGGUGCCAGCGCCGCGGUAAUACGUAGGUGGCAAGCGUUGUCCGGAUUUAUUGGGCGUAAAGCGAGCGCAGGCGGUUUCUUAAGUCUGAUGUGAAAGCCUUCGGCUCAACCGAAGAAGUGCAUCGGAAACUGGGAAACUUGAGUGCAGAAGAGGACAGUGGAACUCCAUGUGUAGCGGUGAAAUGCGUAGAUAUAUGGAAGAACACCAGUGGCGAAGGCGGCUGUCUGGUCUGUAACUGACGCUGAGGCUCGAAAGCAUGGGUAGCAAACAGG